AGAGAGCAUAACAUGUAUAUGUAGGGCUACGAUAGAGACCUAAGGAGUAAUAAGUAUGGGCUCCCAGUGUAAAUAAGAAAACCUAAUCCCACCAGGAUUCUAUUUCUUAUUUCACUAAUUAUAAUUCACCCAACUACAAAAUUAUAAUUGCAUUCCCGUCUUUAUCUCAAUUAUAUUACGAGCUCCAUGAUAUUAAAUACUUAUUAAUCUCCCUACGUUAAGGUUACAGAUACCCGUUGAUUAAAAUAAAUUACUAACAAUCUCCCACUUAAUCAACAUCUUAACUUGAGACUAACCGCUUAACUUAUUUGAUAUGUCAGAUACAAAUAUCUACCUACAGAGUUUGACAUAAUCGAAACUUAUAAGUUUACUCAAGGGGUAUCAUUAAUCCCUACUGGGACGUGGAUUCCAUCAAUAAUUAAUAGCUGUCAUAUACAUAAUGUUGCUACCCAACUCACCGAAACUAUUGACCGUAUAAAGAUCUCACUCUUUAAUGAAUCAAAGUCAACAACAUUAAAUAUAUACCUUUAAUAAUUAUCUUUGGAUUAAGAGUAUAAGUAUUCAUAAUAACCAUAAGGUUCCAAUUGUCUUAUAAAAUUAGUACAAAGACAAUUACCUCAAUGCGGUCCCGUUCAAUAUACACAAAGUGUACUAGCACAAUGAGUUGGAAUUAAACCGUUCCCUGUAGUCAAGACAGACCUACUAAAUAUUGUACUGCAGUCCUAUCGUUGGUGUGUCCAGUUCCAUUUAAAACUGUGAACUAUAUCUUAUAUUUUACAAGAACCAAUAAUUUGAUCUUCUGUGUGCAAGCCGAACUCUAUACACCGGAUCAUCUACUUUGUAAAAUAAAAGACACGCAUGCACAACAUACAAUAAUAUUAUGCAAACAUUGCCCAUAAAAGAUUCUCAUAAAAAAUGGAUAAAACUGAUUAAUAAAUAGUAGUCAAAAAUUAAUCCAAUACACAAAAGCAUGACUUUUAGUAUAACUUUCUAACAAACUCCCACUAAAACUCAAAGUUAUGCUGCCACGCAUCUCACUCCCUCUACAUGACUAUCAAAAGUCUUAGCCUUUAAUCUAUUCGUAAAAAGAUCUGCUAGGUUGUUUAUCGAUGCGAUCUUGGACGCACCUACAUCACAUCGCUGAACGAUCUCUCGAAUCAAGUGAUACUUACGCUCGACGUGUUUUCCUUCUUAUAAGUCAAUGGCUCCUUAAGAGUUAACAAUUCCACCACUAUUGUCACAAUAGAUAUAAUAGCUAAUUGCACUAAAGGAAUCACUUCUAGAUCCAUCAAGAAGUUUCUAAGCCAAACGGCCUCUAUUGGCUGCUUAAGAAGCUACCACAUACUCGGCUUCCAUGGUUGAAUUAAUCAAUGCACGAUUACUUGAUACUCCUCCAACUUAUAGCUCUACCUCAUAGGUAAACACAUAUCUCAAGGUAUACUUCUGGAAUCCUUAUCUGACACAAAGUCUUAGUUUGUGUACCCAUAAGGUAUUAGACUAUCUGACUGGUAAACCAACAUAUAAUCUCUAGUUUUUUUUAGAUACUUGAAAAUAUGCUUCUCUACAGUCAAACGCUCUUGCCCUGAAUUAGACUGAAAUCUACUAACUAUGCCAACGGCACAGCAAAUAUCAGGUCUAGUACAUAGCAUAGCAUACAUAAGGCUUUCUAAUACCAAGGCAUAAAGAACGGCCUUCAUCUUCUCCAUCUCCUCAGGUGUCUUACGACACUGAUCUUUGGAUAAGUUGAUUCCAUGUCUGAAAAGGGAGGAACCCUUUCUUGGAAUCCUGCAUGCUAAAACGAGCAAGGAUCUUAUGCUAAGCCCAACAUCCUAUACUUGCAAUCUCACAUAAGCUUAAUUCCAAGGGUGUGAUCGGCUUCUCUCAAGUCCUUCAUAUUGAACUGGCUAGAUAGUCACAUCUUUACCGAAAACAAAAUUCCCACAUCGUUUCCGAUUAGCAGAAUAUCAUCUACAUAUAGUACUAGGAACACCACCACUUUUUUGUUGUGUUUCUUGUACGCACAUGACUCAUCUGGACAUUGAUCAAAACCAAAAAAACUUGAUUGCUUGAUCAAAACGGAUGCUCCAAGAUCUAGAUGCUUGCUUGAGUCCAUGAAUAGACUCCUUAAGCUUGCACGACAUGUGCUCUUGACCCUUUGUUAUGAAUCCAUUCGGUUUCAUUAUGUGGAUGCGUUCAUCCAGAUUUCCAUUAAGGAAUGCAGAUUUCACAGCCUUUUACCAAAAUUUCACAUAUUUACCUUCUAGUUUCUCAUUGUAGUUGCAGGGUUCAGCAUGUUGUUCUUCAGGGAUCAUAUCAUAAGAUUCUCCCAAGAACAUAUACCGAUAGGGUGGGACAACAACCCUCCCACUACGAUGAGGUACCGGUGUGUCAACAACUCUUUCUUGCAGUGUAACCUCCUAUACUAUUGGUGUUGAAGAAGUUUUUGUCGGUCCCUCUCCUCUCAAUUUCUUUAGAACAAUCUUGCUUUUGGGCUUGUGGUCUAUUACACAGUCCUCUUCUAAUAACCGGGCAUUAGGGCUAACAAUAACUUUCUUAUCCGUAGGACUAUAAAAUAGUCCACCUUUCGUUCCUCUAGGGUACCCCACAAACAAGCAAACUUUUGUCCUCGAUUCCAAUUUAUCUGCGUUCCCACUCAGCACAUAUGCUGGACUACCCCAAACCCGAACAUGUUGCAGACUAGGUUUGCGCCCAGUCCACAGUUCUGUGGGUGUAGAUGGUACUGACUUAGACGGUACCAAGUUAAGAAUGUACGCUGCUGUUUCUAGUGCAUGUCCCCAAAACGAAAUUGCUAAAUCUGAAUAACUCAUCAUUGAUCUGACCAUAUCCAUAAGAGUCCUAUUCCUUCUCUUUGCUACACCAUUUUAUUGUGGCAUACCUCUAGCUGACAAUUGCGAUGUAAUCCCUUCAGCUGACAAGUAGUCCCUAAACUCUCCCAAGAGAUAUUUACCACCACGAUCAGAUCAUAAUGUCUUGAGACAUUUACCCAGACGCUUCUCCGUGUCCACCCUAUACUCCUUGAAUUUCUCAAAGCAUUCGGACUUAUGGUGCAUCAAAUAAAUGUAUCCAAACAUUGAGUAAUUAUCAAUCAAAGUGAUGAAAUACUCAAAACCACCUCUUGCUUGGACAUUCAUGGGUCCACCCAAAUCAGAAUGAACCAAUUCCAACGGCUCUUUGGCUUAUAUCCUUUUGCUGAAAAAGGCCUUUUGGUCAUUUUACUUUCCAAACAGGAUUCACAGACUGGAAGUUCCUUAACUUCUAAUGAACCUAAAAGUCCAUCUCUAACUAGUCUAGAAACCCUAUUCAAAUUAAUAUGACCAAGACGCAAGUGCCAAAGAUACGUUUGGUUCAAUUGAGAAGGCUCAUUUCUCUUACAUGACAUAUUAUUAGUGUUAUUCAAUUCAUGCAGUUGCAUUAUAGGAAAUAUAUGAUUAAUAAAGUAGAGAUUAUCUACCUAAUAAAACAUAAUGGUGUGGGCCCCCACACAAACACAAACACAAACACGUCCAAGGGCUAAGGUUCAUUUGAUCUAAGGGUUGUGGUGCGUCCUCCUAUUCUCAUUUAAGUAUCCACAUUCUUUGAACAUAUUACAUUUGUGCCAUCGUAGAUCUGAAAAUCGUAACACAGUUUCCACGUUUGUUUCAAAAUUCAAAAUUACUCUCUCUCUCUCUCUCUCUCUCUCUCUCUCUCCAUUCCAAACCCUUUUCAUAUCCACCCCCAGGAUGGAGAGGUUGCGAGCUCUAGAUCUGAUGGGUCAAUUUUAGUCGUUCUUGCUCUUUCUUCUUUUUGGAAAUUCACAGAUUUUGCAAAUCAAGUCGAUAUCAAGUCUGGUCGGGAAUCCGUGAAUCCGCUCUGAUCAAAUCAAGUUGAUAUCAUCAAGAUUUACCGCUGCUACUGUGGUACGAAUUAUGUUCAUUGAUUUAGUUAAUUUGUUCUUGAAUCUUGAUUAAUUGUAGUUUUUUUGGGGUCGAGGGUUCGAUAUGAUUUUUGGGAUUGUGUGCGUGUCCCAGGACAAUAUCUGUUGGAAUUCAAACUCAUUACUUUUCUUUUUCUUCUUUUUGGGUAAGUCAAGCUCAUUGCUUGGUAGUUAAAAUUGGGUAUUUGAGCAAUGUAGUUCUUUGUAGUGAGCUAAGGUAUGCGUACGAAGUGUUUGAUGAAAUGCCUGUGAGAAAUGUAGUGUCGUGGACGAAACUGCAGUUAUAGCUUUCGGGUGCUGCAGUUGCAAUGCUGUCCCCAUCGCGAGAUAUGGCAAUUGCCAAUUGGCAAAUUGUAAUCUUGGGUCCGAGUCAUCUGACUAAGCUGGGAGCAGGGGUAUUUUUAAUUUGCAUCUUUGUUCAAACUUGCAGCUUGAAAUUGCUUAUAAGUGGUAUUUUUAAUUUGCACCUGUUAAAAUGCAGUUUAUAUGCAUGUGUAGAGUCUGUUAGUGUAUCAGGCGGGCUUUUUUUUAUCCCAAAAUUGGUUGAUUAGGUUGUUAGGGUAUAUCUAUAGCUUCUUCUCUGUUGCGUAGUUUGGCCAUUUGUCUGCCUUUUCAUGAUGGACCAAAAUUGGUUGAUUUUGUGUAGUUUGGCCAUUUUAACGUUCUUUUGAAAAUUGAUCAUAAGUUUCAAAGCUAAACACAGUUAAAUUUACAAAGAGCUGGGAGGGUUCUGAUCAUGUCAUGUGGGAAGAAUAAAGAACCAACAAAAUACGUAAGGAUUUGUUUCUUUCUUUGUUAUAUGGGGGUUUUGAACGGACCAAUUCGCGUCGACAGUAGGAUUAAUCGCUCUCCCAUAAAGUAGUCGAGGUGUGCAUCGUUGGUCCAGCAAUAUUCACCAAAAAAUUUGCUAGCACCACACCUAAGAAUGAAUUUAUGAAAAACCACGCAUGCACUUGAUUCUGCACUUGAUGCGUAGUUUGGCCUGCACUUGAUUCACCAGUCAUAAUGUAGUUUGGCCUGCACUUGAAGUUAGACAUUGAGUAGGAAAACUUUUUUUGCUAUUCGAUCCCAUAUAUUCAGUUUAUUGUGUUCUUUUGUCAUGAUCAUCCUGAAUUGUUGUCCAUUUAUGACCUUUUUUUUAAACUUUAUUAUUUAUAUACCUUCAACACACGUGUAGACACACUCUCCUCCAUAAGGUAGGCGGUGAGGUUCGAAGCGGGUUAAAUUGUUAAACUGUAUUUAGAAAAAUUUUGUGGACUAAUGUCCAAUUUAUCGUAGUUAGUUCACGUUUCCUCAUAUUGCUAUCUAAUAUGGAACUGCUUGGUAUUCUUGAUUCUCACUUUUCAGACUAUUAACUUGGAAAACUUUGCAGGAACUGAAUUUGGGUCCUUCCACACACUUUUUACUCAAGGAUUGUAUAAGGAGCUCUGAUGAAAAACUCGGUUUCUACUGCACCUUCAUUUUGUACCUACAUUUUGUUUUUUCCCUUUUCCAUUGUACCUUCAUUUUUUUGGAAAGAUAUCGCGGGAAGUGAAUGUGUACAUAGGCCGCCUAAAAUUAAUGGAUUCUUGGGCAAUACAACUCCAUACCAACUUUGUUAGUUGGUAUAUGCUCAAAUUGUGGUCAAGAUCUAACAGUGUAGGAACCCAGUGGCUAGGAUUCACUUGAUCCAAUAGUCUUUUUCCUUUUAUUCCUUUAAAUUGUGGUCAAGAAGCCUAUUUGCAUAUACAAGUUGACAGGUCAGCUGUUUUGAGUCAUAAUCUUCACACCUUUCUUAUGCAUUGUAACUUUUGGUUGAUGCUAUAAAAUUGUACAUUGUUGCUUGGUUUUCUUGCCCUUUUUUUUUUUUUACUGGUAGUAGAUUUAUGAGAACAAAAGUUGAGAAGAUGGGGUAUUUAUUGAGUCUAUAUACAAGUAGUAGAUUUAUGAUGAGUUCAUUGCAUGUUUUAAUUCUGGGUUGGAGAGAUCUUGACAAAUCAAGAAUGGCGGCGGGGAAAAAUGCAGAAUAGAGUAUGCUUACAUUUUUUUCUUAUGGUCUUAGCUAUUGUGCUUUUACCAUCCUUAAUGAAUGACUCCCUGUUUUUUGGAUAUUCUGCAGAUAUCAAAAGAGGAAGGUAGACUAAAGAAGGAUGUGGAAGAGGAAAAAGAAAAGUGGAAAAGAAAGCAUGAGCAUGAAGAUCAGUGGGUGCCUUCAAGAAUGCUGUACUUUGAUGAAAUCGAAGAUGUGAAAAUCAUCCGGUCAUUUUAAAUCUACUGUUUUCUGUGGAAAUCAUCCAGAAUUUCCUAUUUGGUGGUAUGAUUCCAUUUUUUGCUUUUCUCUACUCUUCUGGGAUUUGAAGAGUCUGUUGUUAGUGAUGGGACUUAAUCGAGUUCGUUGGAGACUUUAAGCUGAGUCUGUAUACUCUUUUUCCGUUUUUUUAACUUCCUUUGGCUCUACUUUGUUAUGUUUUUAAGAAGGUAAUUAUGCGAGGAUACUAUUGGUGUCCUCGGCAACAUAUUACGGAGUUGCUUCCAAAUUAAUGGCUCUCCAAUAAUGCUACUAAAUCUUUUU
Rhododendron vialii is the source of this 6485-nucleotide long non-coding RNA. RefSeq lists it as uncharacterized. Lineage: Eukaryota; Viridiplantae; Streptophyta; Magnoliopsida; Ericales; Ericaceae. The record is from RefSeq and is a predicted model, not a curated record. The transcript has 2 exons.